This 257-nucleotide ribosomal RNA is filed under the name uncultured bacterium. RNAcentral describes it as "partial 16S ribosomal RNA". It matches the Rfam family "Bacterial small subunit ribosomal RNA", at positions 521 to 776 of the family's 1533-position model. The record is from RNAcentral.
UAAAACGUAGGAGGCGAGCGUUAUCCGGAAUCACUGGGCGUAAAGGGCGUCUAGGCGGCACGAUAAGCGAGGUGUGAAAGCUCCUGGCUCAACCAGGAGAGUGCGCUUCGGACUGUCGAGCUUGGAGGGCAGGUGAAGGGGGUGGAAUUCCCGGUGGAGUGGUGGAAUGCGUAGAGAUCGGGAGGAACACCAGUGGCGAAAGCGGCCCCCUGGCCUGUUGCUGACGCUGAAGCGCGAAAGCGUGGGGAGCAAACGGG